This is a long non-coding RNA of Gavialis gangeticus (Gharial), 103 nucleotides long. RefSeq lists it as uncharacterized. Lineage: Eukaryota; Metazoa; Chordata; Crocodylia; Gavialidae. The transcript is spliced from 4 exons. The record is from RefSeq and is a predicted model, not a curated record.
ACCGGACAAUAGCAAUAAAUAACAGCAACAGGCAUCCUCUGGAAGACUCGUCACCGAGCAGGGCAGCAAAAAAAAAAAAAAAAAAGAAGGGUUUGCCCAGAGG